AACGAACGCUGGCGGCAUGCCUAACACAUGCAAGUCGAACGAGACCUUCGGGUCUAGUGGCGCACGGGUGCGUAACGCGUGGGAACCUGCCCUUAGGUUCGGAAUCACUCCCCGAAAGGGGUGCUAAUACCGGAUAAUGUCUUCGGACCAAAGAUUUCUCGCCUUUGGAUGGGCCCGCGUUGGAUUAGCUAGUUGGUAGGGUAAAAGCCUACCAAGGCGACGAUCCAUAGCUGGUCUGAGAGGAUGCUCCGCCACACUGGGACUGAGACCCGGCCCAGACUCCUACGGGAGGCAGCAGUGGGGAAUAUUGGACACUGGGCGAAGGCCUGAUCCAGCAAUGCCGCGUGAGUGAUGAAGGCCUUAGGGUUGUAAAGCUCUUUUACCCGGGAUGAUAAUGACAGUACCGGGAGAAUAAGCUCCGGCUAACUCCGUG
Molecule: ribosomal RNA, 433 nt
Filed under: uncultured bacterium
Lineage: Bacteria
Description: partial 16S ribosomal RNA
Rfam family: Bacterial small subunit ribosomal RNA
Source: RNAcentral